CCUCUGCAGGCGACAAAUAGAAUAGCAGCCAAGACGAGGAAGUCGUAGUUUAACCAGAAGUAAACAAACCAGUGUAAUCACAGAUAUACUGCUUUGCUUAUACCAAAGUGUGUACAGAGGACACUGUGCUGAAUCCCUCACAUUCUCUCAAGUGGAGCAUCAGAGGAGAAAGCAGGAAACAUGGGAGGGAUAGCAGCCUACAAUAUGGGGGAUGGAAACGUCCAUUCCUAUGAAAAUGUUGAUGGCAGCACAACAAGCGGAGACUACUCCAACGAUGUGGUUGCCAGAGCUCAGUGGUACAAAACUAGUUAGGGCUUCUAACACCUGAAGCUGUCCAAAACAUGAACCUGUAAGAAGCCUCUUACAGUUGAUGAUGAUGAUGUGUUCGUGUGUAAACAUCAUGCAAAGCCAAACGUCUGAUGAUAUCUCUGAUUAUUGAGCUGAGAGCUGUCAUCAUUUGCAGAAAGGAGAAAAGUAAUAUUCACUGUGUCCUUGUUUACGAACAAACUGCACUGCUGUUGAUGCUGCUUCAGGAUUGACAUGAUUUACCUAAUACUGUUCUUUUACCACAUUGAUUAUCGCAAUUUGUUUCAAUUGCAAAUGAGAGAUGUAAUAAAGUCCUUGUGUCACUGCUUGGAGUCAGAGAGACAUUUUCACAAUGUUACAUCAGUGUAAUGUUGAGGGAAAGUAAAAAGAGGGAAAUUACACAUAAACCUUGACAAAUUAUGUGAUGAAAUAAAUGUUUCCAUCAGAGGA
Molecule: long non-coding RNA, 756 nt
Organism: Acanthopagrus latus (yellowfin seabream)
Lineage: Eukaryota; Metazoa; Chordata; Actinopteri; Spariformes; Sparidae
Exons: 2
Source: RefSeq, a predicted model, not a curated record